This 440-nucleotide ribosomal RNA is filed under the name uncultured bacterium. Its description in RNAcentral is "partial 16S ribosomal RNA". It matches the Rfam family "Bacterial small subunit ribosomal RNA", at positions 338 to 795 of the family's 1533-position model. The record is from RNAcentral.
CCUACGGGUGUCAGCAGUGGGGGAUAUUGCACAAUGGGGGAAACCCUGAUGCAGCGACGCCGCGUGUGGGACGACGGUCCUUUGGCUUGUAAACUACUGUCUCCAGGGCCGAAGAUGACGGUACCUGGGGAGGAAGCUCCAGCUAACUACGUGCCAGCAGCCGCGUUAAUACGUAGGGAGCGGGUGUUGCCCGGAAUUACUGUGUGUACAGGGAGCGUUGGCGGGGAUGCAAGCUGGGUGUCAAAACUACCGGCUCAAGGGGUAGUCGCACCCAAAACUGCAGCUCUGGAGUGAAGUAGAGGCAGGCGGAAUUCCUGGUGUAGCGGUGAAAUGCGUAGAUAUUAGGAAGAACACCAAUUGCGAAGGCAGCCUGCGGGGCUUUUACUGACGCUGAGGCUCGAAAGUGUGGGUAGCAAACAGGAUUAGAUACCCGAGUAGUC